This is a long non-coding RNA of Homo sapiens (human), 433 nucleotides long. The record is from Ensembl. NCBI's taxonomy places the organism in Eukaryota, Metazoa, Chordata, Mammalia, Primates, Hominidae.
GCUAGGAACUAAUAAUUUUAGGUAGACUUCUAAUGAAAUGGAUAAAAUAGAAUAAAAUUUGAUGCCUCAAAUAACAGCUAACAUUUACUGGGGGCUUACCAUGUAUUAGGAACUAUUCUGAAAGUUCAACACAUGCUUAGAGGAGGUUAGCUUCAAUUAUCUGAAAAAAUUCAAUUAUAAGAAACAUUUCAAUCCGCAAAGGCACUGGGUAAGGCAUCAUUGUGUUAUUACAGUUUUCUGCAUCCAGUCAAGGCUUGUACUUACCUAUAGGGACAAAGGGGGAGUCUCUAGAUUUCCUGAUUAGUCGGGAUAAUUGGCCUUCAUCCUCAUCUGCUGACCACUGGUUAUCUGAAGACAUUUUUUUCUCUAGUAACAAUAGGAUAUAAAUGUGGUUGCCGUGAAUCAUUAAAAAUAAUUUGUUUUUCCUCUCCCA